This 473-nucleotide ribosomal RNA is filed under the name uncultured bacterium. RNAcentral's name for it is "SSU rRNA". It matches the Rfam family "Bacterial small subunit ribosomal RNA", at positions 26 to 518 of the family's 1533-position model. The record is from RNAcentral.
AGGACGAACGCUGGCGGCGUGCUUAACACAUGCAAGUCGAGCGGAAAGGCCCUUCGGGGUACUCGAGCGGCGAACGGGUGAGUAACACGUGAGUAACCUGCCCCUAGCUCUGGGAUAGCUCCGGGAAACCGGGAUUAAUACCAGAUACGACCACUUUAGACAUCUGUCGUGGUGGAAAGGAUUCCGGCUAAGGAUGGGCUCGCGGCCUAUCAGCUAGUUGGUGGGGUAAUGGCCCACCAAGGCGACGACGGGUAGCCGGCCUGAGAGGGCGACCGGCCACACUGGGACUGAGACACGGCCCAGACUCCUACGGGAGGCAGCAGUGGGGAAUAUUGCGCAAUGGGCGAAAGCCUGACGCAGCGACGCCGCGUGGGGGAUGAAGGCCUUCGGGUUGUAAACCCUUUCAGCAGGGACGAAGCGAAAGUGACGGUACCUGCAGAAGAAGCGCCGGCUAACUACGCGCCAGCAGCCGC